RNAcentral lists this unclassified non-coding RNA (332 nucleotides) under uncultured fungus. RNAcentral describes it as "sequence contains ITS1". The stretch from base 1 to 105 matches the Rfam family "5.8S ribosomal RNA", at positions 50 to 154 of the family's 154-position model. Lineage: Eukaryota; Fungi. The record is from RNAcentral.
GAAAUGCGAUAAGUAGCGCGAAUUGCAGAAUUCCGCGAGUCGUCGAAUCUUUGAACGCACCUUGCGCUCGCCGGCACCCCGGGGAGCAUGCCUGCUUGAGAGCCGAAGAAACCCAUCAUCACGCGAACCGAGGUCACUCGGGCGCGUGGAGAGUGGGCACGUCCGCGAGGCGGGUCGCACCGACCCGUUCGCAGGAGGCCUGAAGACCACGGCACGCUGGGAAGAGAUCUCACGUAUCUCGGCCACCGUCGAGACGGACGAUGGGGAAGGGCGCGCGUCGGGGCACCGGCGCGCGAGCACGCGCCGUCACAGCUCGGCCGGUGGCUCGCGAG